UCAAAAGAAGGCUCGGGGGCCUGUUUUUGGGGUCCAGGACCAAUGUUUUGGUUAAACUAUCUUUUG
RNAcentral lists this transfer RNA (66 nucleotides) under Draco maculatus. RNAcentral describes it as "tRNA-Pro". Lineage: Eukaryota; Metazoa; Chordata; Lepidosauria; Squamata; Agamidae. The record is from RNAcentral.